CCUACGGGAGGCAGCAGUAAGGAAUAUUGGUCAAUGGACGCAAGUCUGAACCAGCCAUGCCGCGUGCAGGAUGAAGGCCCUCUGGGUUGUAAACUGCUUUUAUCUGGGACGAAAAAGGGGCUUUCUAGCUCAACUGACGGUACCAGAGGAAUAAGCACCGGCUAACUCCGUGCCAGCAGCCGCGGUAAUACGGAGGGUGCAAGCGUUAUCCGGAUUUACUGGGUUUAAAGGGUGCGUAGGUGGGUAAGUAAGUCAGUGGUGAAAUCUUCAAGCUUAACUUGGAAACUGCCAUUGAUACUAUUUAUCUUGAAUACUCUGGAGGUAAGCGGAAUAUGUCAUGUAGCGGUGAAAUGCUUAGAUAUGACAUAGAACACCAAUUGCGAAGGCAGCUUACUACAUAGUUAUUGACACUGAGGCACGAAAGCGUGGGGAUCAAACAGGAUUAGAUACCCUGGUAGUCCACGCCCUAAACGAUGGAUACUCGACAUCAGCGAUACACUGUUGUGUCUGAGCGAAAGCAUUAAGUAUCCCACCUGGAAGUACGACCGCAAGGUUGAAACUCAAAGGAAUUGACGG
RNAcentral lists this ribosomal RNA (576 nucleotides) under uncultured bacterium. RNAcentral's name for it is "bacterial SSU rRNA". It matches the Rfam family "Bacterial small subunit ribosomal RNA", at positions 338 to 916 of the family's 1533-position model. The record is from RNAcentral.